CAGGGGGGAUACCAUGAUCAUGAAGGUGGUUUUCCCAGAGCAAGGCUUAUCCAUUGCACUCCCAGUCUUUACAUGUCUAAAAUGUUUUUAUUGAACACUCACAUUAGGUUGAUAAUUUG
This 119-nucleotide small nuclear RNA is filed under the name Dasypus novemcinctus (nine-banded armadillo). RNAcentral's name for it is "U1 spliceosomal RNA (ENSDNOG00000038904.1)". Lineage: Eukaryota; Metazoa; Chordata; Mammalia; Cingulata; Dasypodidae. The record is from RNAcentral.